CAGGACUGGACUCCCGGCAGCCCCAGGGCAGGGGCGUGGGGAGCUGGUCCUAGCUCAGCGCUCCCGGAGGUGGAGCUUCUGCAGGCUGGGUGCUGCCGGGCCUACGGGCACCCACCCCCUGGCUCAGUGCCCUGGGUAUUCUGACUCAGUAGGUCUGGGGUAGGGCCUGAGAAUUUGUAAUUUUAAGAUGCAUCGUGGAUCUGCAGGCGGCUCUCACGGCUGCCUUUUUCUUCCUGCAGGCCCCUUAUCACCAAGUCCAGCGCCCCCAUUGUGUAUCUGGGACAUGUCCCAAGGCCUGUCCCGAGGAGUGUUUUGCCUGGAAGUGGAGGGGCAGGAAAGUAUGGCCAAGGGAACACGUGAGGGAGGGGAUGACAUGACUUCCCACAACCCUGUACCCCAAGCGUGGCCAAGUCGCCGCUCCAGAAGGCCGCGAAACCCGUGGAAAUUCCGGAAGCAGAGGUGGAAGGCUUAGAACCCCAGUGACCUCUCCCCAGGUCCGCAGGUCCCUUUCCCUUCUAAUUGACCCUUUGGUUCCGUCCUCUGGGCCUAAGAGACAUUUCCUUCUACUGCUUCCACCCCUGUAUUUGAAACCCCUCGUGCUUGCCCACCUUCUCUUGUAGCGCUUUUCAGUCCUUGCACUGAACCACUGCCUAAGCUUGAAAUUUAAAAAAUUAAAAACUAAAACACACACACAAUGGAAAAGGCUGUAUUAUCCCUUCCCAGGCAGUAUUUACAACCCGGUCAUCAUGAUUGGGGGACCGAGGCCUUCCUUUUUCUCCCUUCAGUGAGGCAGGCCCUGAGUUAAGUCAGCUGUCAAAAGCAGAACGUAGAAAACCCAAGAAAUAGUCCUUGACCAGGCACGUAUAGUUGGAAACACCUGUUCUUUGCAGGAAGAGCCUUACAGAUUACAAAUGCCGUCAAGUAAAUAGUAAACCCCAAACCUGG
RNAcentral lists this long non-coding RNA (945 nucleotides) under Homo sapiens (human). RNAcentral describes it as "HSALNT0223695". Lineage: Eukaryota; Metazoa; Chordata; Mammalia; Primates; Hominidae. The record is from RNAcentral.